RNAcentral lists this ribosomal RNA (472 nucleotides) under uncultured bacterium. Its description in RNAcentral is "bacterial SSU rRNA". It matches the Rfam family "Bacterial small subunit ribosomal RNA", at positions 355 to 825 of the family's 1533-position model. The record is from RNAcentral.
UGGGGAAUAUUGGACAAUGGGCGCAAGCCUGAUCCAGCGACGCCGCGUGUGUGAAGAAGGCCUGCGGGUUGUAAAGCACUUUCGAUGGGAACGAAAUGUGCCGGGUAAAUACCCCGGUAAGCUGACGUUACUCAAUGAAGAAGCACCGGCUAACUCUGUGCCAGCAGCCGCGGUAAUACAGAGGGUGCGAGCGUUAAUCGGAAUUACUGGGCGUAAAGCGCACGCAGGCGGCGCAUUAAGUCAGGGGUGAAAGGCCUGGGCUCAACCCAGGAACUGCCUUUGAGACUGAUGUGCUCGAGUCCGGAAGAGGGUAGUGGAAUUUCCAGUGUAGAGGUGAAAUUCGUAGAUAUUGGAAAGAACACCGGUGGCGAAGGCGGCUACCUGGUCCGGUACUGACGCUCAAGUGCGAAAGCGUGGGGAGCAAACAGGAUUAGAUACCCCCGUAGUCCCUGAGCGGGCUGGCAAGGCGCAU